This 497-nucleotide ribosomal RNA is filed under the name uncultured bacterium. Its description in RNAcentral is "partial 16S ribosomal RNA". It matches the Rfam family "Bacterial small subunit ribosomal RNA", at positions 28 to 507 of the family's 1533-position model. The record is from RNAcentral.
GAUGAACGCUGGCGGCGUGCCUAAUACAUGCAAGUCGAGCGAACAGACGAGGAGCUUGCUCCUCUGACGUUAGCGGCGGACGGGUGAGUAACACGUGGAUACCCUACCUAUAAGACUGGGAUAACUUCGGGACACCGGAGCUAAUACCGGAUAAUCUAUUGAACCGCAUGGUUCAAUAGUGAAAGACGGUUUUGCUGUCACUUAUAGCUGGAUCCGCGCCGCAUUAGCUAGUUGGUAAGGUAAAGGCUUACCAAGGCAACGAUGCGUAGCCGACCUGAGAGGGGGGUCGGCCACAUGGGAACGGAGACACGGUCCAGACUCCUACGGGAGGCAGCAGUAGGGAAUCGGCCGCAAUGGGCGAAAGCCUGACGGAGCAACGCCGCGUGAGUGAUGAAGGUCUUGGGAUCGUAAAACUCGGUUAUGAGGGAAGAACAAAUGUGUAAGUAACUAUGCACGUCUUGACGGUACCUAAUCAGAAAGCCACGGCUAACUACGUG